AACCAAACAUAACGACUGAAGAAAGUUUAUACCCAGGUAUUGUAGUCAACGUCCAACACGCGGUUGCUACAAACAAAAUAAAUUACAAGUUAUAGACGAAUACAAUAAAAGAAACAGAAAUAACGAGCCGAAGGUAGACGAUACUUACAAACGUUGUAUGACUAGGAAGCUAAGGAACACGUAAAAGGAAAAUGGCAGGGCGGUAAAUGAAACGAGAUGAUAGUAGCGUCGCGAUGAAAAUGCACAAAUAAACUAGAAAGACGCAUACAAAAGGGGACUGAAACAAA
Orbicella faveolata is the source of this 287-nucleotide long non-coding RNA. The record is from RefSeq and is a predicted model, not a curated record. NCBI's taxonomy places the organism in Eukaryota, Metazoa, Cnidaria, Anthozoa, Scleractinia, Merulinidae.